UAUGGCCAUAUCACGUUGAAACUCCGGUUUCCGUACGAUUACCAAAAUCAAUCAACGUCGAGCCUGGUCAAUACUUAGAAGGGUGACCGAUUGGGAAUCCCAGGUGCUGUAA
Non-coding RNA from Acanthosepion pharaonis, 112 nucleotides. The record is from the annotation of a GenBank genome assembly. Lineage: Eukaryota; Metazoa; Mollusca; Cephalopoda; Sepiida; Sepiidae.